RNAcentral lists this ribosomal RNA (468 nucleotides) under uncultured bacterium. RNAcentral describes it as "partial 16S ribosomal RNA". It matches the Rfam family "Bacterial small subunit ribosomal RNA", at positions 28 to 507 of the family's 1533-position model. The record is from RNAcentral.
GACGAACGCUGGCGGCGUGCUUAACACAUGCAAGUCGAACGGAAAGGCCCUGCUUUUGUGGGGUGCUCGAGUGGCGAACGGGGGAGUAACACGUGAGUAACCUGCCCUUGACUUUGGGAUAACUUCAGGAAACUGGGGCUAAUACCGGAUAGGAGCUCCUGCUGCAUGGGGGGGGAUGGAAAGUGUCGGCGGUUGGGGAUGGACUCGCGGCUUAUCAGCUUGUUGGUGGGGUAGUGGCUUACAAAGGCUUUGACGGGUAGCCUGCCUGGGAGGCGGGCCGGCCACCAUGGUACUGAGGUACGGACCAGUCUCCUACGGGAGGCAGCAGGGGGGAAUAUUGCACAGCGAGCGGAAGCCUGAUACAGCAGCGCCGCGUGCGGGAUACCGGCCUUCGGGUUGUAAACCGCUUUCGCCUGUGACGAAGCGUGAGUGACGGUACUGGGUAAAGAAGCACCGGCUAACUACGUG